CGACAAACUAUAUUAACAUAACACGAAGUUCAUCCUUCAAUAGGUUCCAUCAAAACCCUAGACUAAAUAUUUAGCUACUCGUAGCAAAGCAAGAUAAAACCACAAAAGUAUUUAUAAUGUGCAAAUAAAUAUAACAAAGAGAAGAUUGAAAAACUCUAAUGGUUGAUAUCUCUUCUCACACUUGUUCUUGCCUCCAAUUCAGUCUAAAAACCUUGAUAAUGUCCCUUUGGGCGAGUUGGACCUCUUAUAGGUUAAGUGGAAUUACCCCCGAACUUCCAAGUUUACCCCUGAAUUAUAUUUUUCCGAACUGGACUAGCGCGGUCGCGCUAGUGGGCGCGCUACUGACCGCGCAUAUGGCAUAGUAUUCUGCCUCGAACUCCUGGGCUAGCACGAUCGCGCUAGUGGACCAUCAUUUCAGCUCUUCUUUUCUCUCCUCUUUCAACGUACUCAGCUCCGAGGGGCUUUCCUUGCUUCAAUUUAGCUCCAAAUACAGUCAUAAGUCCUCGUACGCGCAACUCGCUCCUGCAAAACAUAAAAUUCACAAUUAGAGCCAAUUUAUCAUCAUUUAACUAUCCUACAACAGUGAAACAUCGUCAAGCUGGGACAUAAACAGUCGCCAAAUUACAUGAAUCUAGCCUAUUAUCAAGAGGCAAACCCAAGAUCUGAAAGUAAUAUGGGUACCAAUAUCAAAAAGAUUGAGCAAAUGCUAAAAAUUGAACUAGCGUACUAAAAGUCAAGUUGUGCCCCCCUCCCUCCAAAUCGAUCAAUGCAGUUGCCUAAGCGACUUUUAAUGCCUCCCUCCUCCAAAUCGAUCAAUGCAACUGCCUAAGCUUUAAGUGUUAUGGUAUCAAUAAAAUUAUAUUCCUGUCAUUUAAGAUAUAUACAUAUAUUUUUUUCGAAACUAUCGGGCCGAUGAUCUCCUACCCUAAGGGUAGGUCGGCUUCUGCAUUAGCGGAUAAAUUUGUAGCAUAUUUAAACAUGAGUUGGCAUGUAAAAGAAGACUAUUAUUCAGCUGAAGAUUUAUUUCAGUCCUUAUCAAUUAUCAUGCUGAGGGUCAAAGGACCCUUCACAUUGAGCAUCAACCAUAUGAACAGACUCCAUAAUUAUUUAUAUCUGAAAUUCUCACUGUCAGACAGACGGAUUUAAUUAUAUGUCUGUAGGUUCCACAGAACUUGGUGUCAAGAUCAAAUUUUAUAUAUGUGUGACAAAUAAGUUUUGAUACAGUUAAAUAUACAUUUCAUAAUCUAUUCUCUUAACUUAAUUAGAAAUUAGAACAACAUUCAAAUUUGGAAUCUAGCAGGGGUGAAUAAUCCAUUUCUAGCUUAUGCGUCAGUUCAUUUGUUUGUUUGUGGCACGAUUAUCUUGAGAUGUCAUGCUUGAUCAAGACAGGAAUGGAGUUUUCUUAUGGAAAAUGAUAAAUAUAUAAUAUCAGCCGUCGACAUACUUUAGCAAGAAAUUAAUUAGAAGAAUGGAUUUCUUUUAGUAUCUUCACUACUUAUUCAUUCAAGAUAUUCAUUUAAGUUUGUCGGUACAAUAAGUAUAAAUGAGAAAGUUUAGGUGGCUGGCCUUUUAGUUGAAGAAAAUAGUCGCAUCAACAUCGACCUGUCCAGGAGAAGAUUUCUGGAAUCAUUUUACUGUCAUCUUUGUCCGAGAAGAAAUUGCAAAUGUGUCUCUCUCAUUACAUUUUGGAAUAUGCAGGAAACCACACUUUUUUUUUUUUUUUAAUAAACGCCAAAGAAGAUCAUUUAAUUAGACUAUAAAGAUUAUAAAACAAUAAAAUUCUUGUUAUUUGUUUGUUUUAAUCAAUUUUUUACUGUUUGAUUUGUAUAACUUUAAAGUUUCAUUUAUUUGACCCCUUGCGCCCAGAGGUGCAUUUGAAAAGUCAAGAGCCAAGAGGGACCCUUAUGUACGGUAGUAUUAGUACUAUUUAGCCGGUGGUUACCCAUCCCAAUCACAGGAGAAUUUUCUAUAUCACCAUUGGCCAUAGCAUUAAAAAUCAGCAAUUUUGUAUGUGGAGUUUUAAUUUUUAUUUCUUUUAUUGGUGGUGUCUGAUCGAGCGCAUGUAUGUAUCCUCAGAAAAUUUUGUUUAGACUUAGCCGGAUGAGAAAGAUUUACCUAACUAUAUUUUUGUUCCUCUACUAAAGUUCGAACUUUGGUAUCUCGUGGUAUUCCAACUUAAAGCAGUUUCUCUUUAGUUGUUGGACAUACUUGGACAACGCAAAAUGAAAUGGAUACUCCAUUUCUAACAAAAGAGGAGAUGUAAUAAAUAUCUUCAACAUUUUGGUUUCAGAAUUAGUAUUUAAGACUCGUUCUGUUUUAAAUUAUAUAAAUAUUGUUGUAUUUAUAAAAUAGAAAUAUAAGAUAUGAAUUCCACGAUAAAAUUGAGAACCCAUAAGUUUCACCCUUUGAGUGGAACUGGGGAAGAAUAUAUAUAAGUAGAGCUACAUUGGACAACUGUCCACAUUUAGUUUAAAGCAUAAUGAUAUAUUAAUUCUUCACAAUGAUGCUUCUCAUUUUCUUGCUCUUUAUCAAAUGUGUUACUCCACUUUCUGUCCUCUUUAUGUUGUUUCCUGUUUUAUUUUGCAAUGGAACGUAACUACAAAGUUAAGGAAAGAGAAGGUUUUAGUAGUUUAAAGCAAACGCCGGAAAAGAUAGUAAUAAGCGAAUUUAAGGAUAUAAAAUUAAACUGAAUUUAACUGGAUCCAUUUCGAUUCAAUUAUCAUUGUUUAUUAUUUAUAAACUAAAAACAUGAUUAACCAAAAUAGAUCGAAUCAACUUAAUAUUUUUUUAAUAAUUAAGUAAACAAGCUUUCUUAAAAGUUUAAACUUUUAAAACAGAUUAGAAAAUCAACAUGUGUUUCAAAGAAGUAUUCAUCUCUAAAUUUAGGAAACUUUACUUUUUGGAAUUCUCUAGAUUUGUGUUGAAGGAGAGCUACUUUGAUACUAUAAUUAUAUAAUCUUGUUUUGAAGAAAAGGUCAAAUUCUAGUCUUGUGAGUCAAAUUUGAUAAAAGAAUUGUUGUUUGGGUUGUUAAUUUGCUCCAAGGACCCUUACAGCAAAAUCCAGUUUCAGUUUGCUCCUAAAUGUUUUCCUUUUAACAUACUUACUAACUAAUAUUUAUAUAUUUUAAAUAUACAACAUGUCACACCUCCUUUUUACACACCUACCCCGGAGGAUAAUGUAUAAGAGAGUUUUUCCAUUUAAAGUGACAUUAUUCUGAGCGGGAUUAUUUAUUUAUUUAGAGUCGCCACUUGGGAAAUGUUUGACUUUUGGUGUCCCAAGUCACCGGUUUAUCUUGAAUCCCGAACCGAGGAAAAUUGUCGACUUCCAAUUGGAGUCUGUGAACCAGAAAUUCUAAGCAAGGAAUUCUGUUGACCCGAGGGAAGGUGUUAGGCACCCCCGGAUCCCGUGGUUCUAGCACGAUCGCUUAAAUUGUUGUAAAUGGUUAAGAGUCCGAUUUUAAUACAUGCCAACUUUAUGUGCUUUUAUUAACUUUAAACCGCAGUUAUCACUAUUUUUUAAAAGAAUUGCAACGUCGUGAAAACGCGUCUCGAACCACGUCACAUCAAUGCACCCGUGGUUAUUGACACAUUUCGACAUCCGUUGAGAUUUGGAUUUGGGUCACAUAAAUGUGCACCCGAGUUUAGGAAUGUAAUUUGAUUAAAAUCGCGCUUAAAGAGUCUAACGCGUUAUUGUCUUUGGGGAAGGCCGUGAAAUUCACUAAACGGCCUAUCCCGAAUUCUAUUUAUCUAUUAUAACCAAUUACCGAGGGCCCCGCAAUUUAUUUAUUUUGUUCGGCGAGGCUCGUCUCAUGGCUUAUUUAAAGGUACACUCUAAAGUAAAUUAUGAUUUUUCUAAAUUAUUUGUCUCUAAUAAAAUAAAAAUCCUAAUUAAUCAUUAUUAUUUAGGAGUUACUUCAUUUCCAAAUAAGGAUUAAAAUUAAGUCCAUGACUUCAUUGAAGCUUCAACAUUUGGGCUUUAAUACCGGCCCUAUGCCAUUUUGCUUGUGGUUGCGUAGAGAGAAAAUAAACCCAGACGUGGGCCAUGAACGGAAACAUGCCCAAAUUUAUUGUAUUGGUGGCUUGCCCAGUUCAGCUUAUUACAUGAGCAACUACUUUGUUUUUGUUUGUUUCAUUUCAAUUAACCAAUUGAAUCUACCUCAUGCAUUUUUAAUAGUGACAAUGUGAAGCAGAAUCCAUUGACAGAAACCAGAUAUACUNNNNNNNNNNNNNNNNNNNNNNNNNAAAAAAGUUCUAACUAAACCUGUUUAUAGCUAAUUUCAUGAAGAUCAUAAGGCGACACUGAAUCCAAACCGGCUAAGAGAUUCACAUGCUCAUUUGUGACUUGUUUUUAGCUAAUGCUCAAAUUAGCACAUAAGUAUUUAUUCAUAUUUAUAGUAGAGCAUACUUCUAAAUUGCUUGCAAACUCAACCACAUUCUGAUUCCAUAUGCUUACCCAGUAUUACCAUGAAAACCAAACAUUAGACCACGCUGUGUCCACGAAUAACAAACAUCAAUUAACAGCCCUAAGAGAUCUGAUUUGAGUACAAAUUUCAACAGUCCAUAGCAGGAGAAGUAAUCUUAAUCAGACAGUCCUAAUUGAUAUACACAUUAUAAAAUUUCACAUGAACAUAAAUAUGAAACUGUAUGCAAACUGAAACAAAUAAACAACUGGCACUUCAAUUUCUUUUCAAUUGGCUAUAUUAAGCUUGAGAUCACAAACGUCAUUCAUAGUCGAGCCAAGUACCUGGGAAUUAGAAUGCAACAGGAAGAGGAGAAGUUAGCAGCAGCAGCAACGAUUGAGAAUGUCCAGCAACAACACAACAAUUUUAACCCAGAAAGCAGACCAGUAGUCCAAAUAUCAAAUAGGACAGAGGGAUUGACCAAAACAGCACCACAACAAACCAGUAAACUCAAAAGGCAUCCAGAAAUACUCAGCAAACACCAAACUCAAACAAAACCCACUUUACUUAAACCAGAACUGCUCAAUACUAAACCAGCACGAUCCAGAAACUCCAAUAAUCAAACGAGAAGAAAAUCGAACAAAACUAAAUCAAAAACCAAUGUAACAAUGCAUUUUUUUGCAAUUUUCUCAUAUUUUCUGUUUUUGUUUUUGUUUCUUUUUUGAGAUUUUGGAAAUUUGAAAUCUAAAAGAGAGUUUGAACUAUUAGAAAUCAGAUCUAGGUUGAAAUUUGAAUUCUGCUUAGACUUGUAGAGAGGGCCCUUUUGGGGGAAAUUUUUGAGCUUGCAAACUUUUGGGAAUUUUCA
This 5265-nucleotide long non-coding RNA is filed under the name Nicotiana tabacum (common tobacco). RNAcentral describes it as "long non-coding RNA (NTAB_LNC010068)". Lineage: Eukaryota; Viridiplantae; Streptophyta; Magnoliopsida; Solanales; Solanaceae. The record is from RNAcentral.